AGAAACUUUCUUCCAUACUUUUUUUUUCUUUCAUCGCCCAGCACACAGUUUGUUUGAUCCUGCACACACUCUUGAUUCUUGCUCACAUUUGGUUGCAUUUCUUAUGAGUUAAUCUUCGCAUCAGCCACUGUUUGGCUUCAACCAUUGCACACCUGACGUGUUAGACCGGGUUCACUAAUAAUGAACCGGUUCUGUAUCUUAGCCACUCCCCUCCCCCCCAACCCCUCUCCUCUCUCCCCUCUCGAAUUCAACAACCCCCUUCUUCCUCAUAUCCCUUUUGCCUGUGAAACCCUCAAUCCCCUCACAUUUCUAAUCCCUUUAUUGUUCUUCACUGUGAAUCCCUCACAUUUAUUCUUCUUCUUCUUCUUCACAUUUCUUCUUCUCUGUGAAUUGCGGAGUGGGGCUAAAGAAGUCGAGACCUUUAUCGAAUUUGCUUCUCUGGGAAGCGUGGAACUCAGGAAGGACUGAGGUUCUACUCAUUGCUGCCUAUGGCCAGGGCUUGAAGAAGCUAAACUCAUCAUGCAUGUCAGAAGAAUUGGAGCCUAACAAUGGCAAGUUGCCCUAGCAUCUCUCGUUAACUACAUCUAGAUGUUGAUGUGCCAGAUGUGCUGUGACUGCUUAUUAAAUGAGAAGUGGACCGACUAACAUAGCAGCACAAAAGACUCCUAUUGGAGUUUUGUUGAAUCUUGUGUAAUGAAAACAGCUUGUGCACUUCAAUCGACUUUGUAAACUUUAGGUGAAGUCUUGUGUAGUUGUGUUGCUCAAUUAUGAUCAUAUAAUCCAGAAUUCACGCUAGUUUUCUUU
Carya illinoinensis is the source of this 804-nucleotide long non-coding RNA. RefSeq lists it as uncharacterized. NCBI's taxonomy places the organism in Eukaryota, Viridiplantae, Streptophyta, Magnoliopsida, Fagales, Juglandaceae. The transcript has 2 exons. The record is from RefSeq and is a predicted model, not a curated record.